GGAAUAAAGUAAUAAUAGUAUAUCCUCUUCCAUGAUUUUCAUAUGGUCCAUCUGAUGUAUCUAAUUCUCUCACUCAAUAUUAUCUAGGUGUCGUGUAACAUACGAGGGUGGUUUAAAUUCGCGGUAUAUAUAGCUAGUUGAUGGAUCAAUGGAUGUAACUAUAAAUAUGUAAAAUCACGGAUGUACACAAUAAACUAGAUUACUAACUAGUGAUAAUAAGUAAAAUUUCUUUCCGCUAGAUUCAUGAGUUAAGUUCUAGAUUCGUUGGCUUUAUCAUCAACUUUUAAAUUAUUGUGAUAACUAUUAUAUCUAUAUAAUAGUGUAACAAUCAAGAUUCUGUGGUUAGGUGUACGUGGAUCGGUUUAACCAAAACCACCAACUAAUUUAAUAACAGAGGGUCCGGCGUCGUCGUUACUCAUACGUCGUCGUCGCCACAGCAAC
Molecule: non-coding RNA, 441 nt
Organism: Cinara cedri
Lineage: Eukaryota; Metazoa; Arthropoda; Insecta; Hemiptera; Aphididae
Source: the annotation of a GenBank genome assembly